GUAGGUGAACCUGCGGAAGGAUCAUUAUUGAAUGAACUUGGUGUGGUUGUUGCUGGCCCUUUCGGGGGCAUGUGCACACCCAUCAUCCUCAUCUCUCCACCUGUGCACCUCUUGUAGACUUGGAUUGACUUUCCGAGGCAACUCGGUCGGGAGGACUUGCUGGCAUUAGCUGGCUUUCCUUGCAUUUCCAAGUCUAUGUUUUUUCAUAUACCCCAUUGAAUGUAACAGAAUGUAACAUAUUGGGCCUUUGUGCCUAUAAAAACUUAUACAACUUUCAGCAACGGAUCUCUUGGCUCUC
This 298-nucleotide unclassified non-coding RNA is filed under the name rhizosphere metagenome. RNAcentral's name for it is "partial ribosomal RNA internal transcribed spacer region". The record is from RNAcentral.